GGAUCAUUAAAGAGUUCAAUAAAACUCCUAAACCCCUGUGAACUUACUGGUGUUUGGCUCGCCAGAUAUAGUCUGGUCCGUAAGCAAAUCGACUGCUUGCCUGUGUAACAGGCAGGUAAGCUUUUGUCGCGGGGUCCCGGAUCAACCCGGGCUAGAUAGCCACUUAACUAUAUACUUAUAAAAUCUGUGAACUUACUAGGUUGGAUUCUCGCCAGAGAUAGUCUGGUUUCUGCUUCGCGGAUCGCCUACCCGUGACACCUGUCACAGGCAGGUAUGCUUCUGCCGCGGGUCCGUAAGUAAAUCAUCUGUUUCACAAGGGACGGCGAUUUACCUGUGGAAGAGGUCCGCUAACUAUAUUCUUAGUAUAGUUUGUUCACUAGAUCAAACAUUCUGAAUAAAAACUUAAACUAGUUAAAACUUUCAACAACGGAUCUCUUGGUUCUGGCAUCGAUGAAGAACGCAGCGAAAUGCGAUAAGUAAUGUGAAUUGCAGAAUUCAGUGAAUCAUCGAAUCUUUGAACGCACAUUGCGCCCAUUAGUAUUUUAGUGGGCAUGCCUGUUCGAGCGUCAUUUCAACCCUUAAGCCCCUGUUGCUUAGCGUUGGGAGCCUACAGCCUGCUGUAGCUCCUUAAAGGUAGUGGCGGAGUCGGUUCACACUCUAGACGUAGUAAAAUCUUUAUCUCGCCUAUAGAUGAGCCGGCGCCUUGCCGUAAAACCCCUAAUCUUUCACAAGGUUGACCUCGGAUCAGGUAGGAAUACCCGCUGAACUUAAGCAUAUCAAUAAGCGGAGGAAAAGAAACCAACAGGGAUUGCCCUAGUAACGGCGAGUGAAGCGGCAACAGCUCAAAUUUGAAAUCUGGCCUUCGGGUCCGAGUUGUAAUUUGCAGAGGAUGCUUUGGGCGCGGUGCCUUCCGAGUUCCCUGGAACGGGACGCCUUAGAGGGUGAGAGCCCCGUACGGUUGGACACCAAGCCUCUGUAAAGCUCCUUCGACGAGUCGAGUAGUUUGGGAAUGCUGCUCUAAAUGGGAGGUAAAUUUCUUCUAAAGCUAAAUAUUGGCCAGAGACCGAUAGCGCACAAGUAGAGUGAUCGAAAGAUGAAAAGCACUUUGAAAAGAGGGUUAAAUAGCACGUGAAAUUGUUGAAAGGGAAGCGUUUGCGACCAGACCUUUUCCCAGCGGAUCAUCCGGUGUUCUCACCGGUGCACUUCGCUGGGUUGAGGCCAGCAUCGGUUUCCGCAGGGGGAUAAAAGCCUGGGGAACGUAGCUCCCUCGGGAGUGUUAUAGCCCCUCGCAUAAUACCCUUGCGGGGACCGAGGACCGCG
This 1320-nucleotide ribosomal RNA is filed under the name Xylaria sp. genotype 218. RNAcentral describes it as "eukaryotic LSU rRNA". The stretch from base 735 to 1320 matches the Rfam family "Eukaryotic large subunit ribosomal RNA", at positions 1 to 597 of the family's 3401-position model. The record is from RNAcentral. Lineage: Eukaryota; Fungi; Ascomycota; Sordariomycetes; Xylariales; Xylariaceae.